RNAcentral lists this ribosomal RNA (253 nucleotides) under uncultured bacterium. RNAcentral describes it as "partial 16S ribosomal RNA". It matches the Rfam family "Bacterial small subunit ribosomal RNA", at positions 524 to 776 of the family's 1533-position model. The record is from RNAcentral.
GACGGAGGGGGCUAGCGUUGUUCGGAAUUACUGGGCGUAAAGGGCGCGUAGGCGGUCCUUCAAGUUAGGCGUGAAAGCCCUGGGCUUAACCUAGGAAUAGCGUUUAAUACUGGAGGGCUAGAGAUCGGUAGAGGGAAAUGGAAUUCCUAGUGUAGAGGUGAAAUUCGUAGAUAUUAGGAAGAACACCAGAGGCGAAGGCGGUUUCCUGGGCCGAUACUGACGCUGAGGCGCGAAAGCGUGGGGAGCAAACAGG